This 459-nucleotide ribosomal RNA is filed under the name uncultured bacterium. RNAcentral's name for it is "bacterial SSU rRNA". It matches the Rfam family "Bacterial small subunit ribosomal RNA", at positions 30 to 480 of the family's 1533-position model. The record is from RNAcentral.
AUUGAACGCUGGCGGCAUGCUUUACACAUGCAAGUCGAACGGCAGCACGAGUGCUUGCACUUGGUGGCGAGUGGCGGACGGGUGAGUAAUACAUCGGAACGUGUCCUUAAGUGGGGGAUAACGCAUCGAAAGAUGUGCUAAUACCGCAUAAUAUCUGAGGAAGAAAGUGGGGGAUCGAAAGACCUCAUGCUUUUGGAGCGGCCGAUGUCUGAUUAGCUAGUUGGUGAGGUAAUGGCUUACCAAGGCAACGAUCAGUAGUUGGUCUGAGAGGACGACCAGCCACACUGGGACUGAGACACGGCCCAGACUCCUACGGGAGGCAGCAGUGGGGAAUUUUGGACAAUGGGCGCAAGCCUGAUCCAGCAAUGCCGCGUGAGUGAAGAAGGCCUUCGGGUUGUAAAGCUCUUUCAGUUGAGAAGAAAGAAUUCUGGUUAAUACCUGGAAUUUAUGACGGUAUCG